ACGGUCCCUCUGGCUGGAGAGGGGUGUUCUGCCAUGAGCACCGUGCCAGUUCUGCUCAGCCCUCCCUGCAGCCACCUCUGCUGUGGAAUUCCUUCCCAUCAGGUAUGAAGGAAACAAUUCAGUGCAUUAUGCUUGAGUGUUCCAGAUUCUGGGUGGCCACUCCAACUUUCUAAAAGAGGAGCUGUAUGUGAGCAUCAGAGGGGGCUUUAACUAUAGCUCCAUGAAAGAUCCUGCACAGAGAUCUCUUGAGGAGCUGUGGACAAUACUCCCAAAAGGAAACCCGAGACCAUCCUCGGAAUUACAACAUCAUCCACUACAGCAAGGAAGCAUAAAACAGCUCAUUAGCAGCCCUAUCAAGUGACGGACCUAAAGCCAGCUCCAAAGUGCCCACACCUGUCUGCCCACACUGCCAGCCAGAAGGCCGGAUUCCACCGAGGAAAGAAUCAUUAUCCCAGCUCUACAUCUGGAUGUGGGACAGCUGCAGAGCUUCAGGGCACCACAGGUUACAAGGCCUCAUUGAGCAAAAGUUCAAACAAAGGAACCCAGAAGGAAAGCCGGGGUGGCAGCACCCACAUAUAAGCACCCUCCUGCUUCUCUGUGCCCCUCCAGCACCCAGCCAGCAGCACAGCCAUCCCGCCCAGAUGGUACCUCGCUGGCAGAGGCGUAGGGCUGACUCCUGAUCACACCUGCAGCCCUCCCUAUAGGAUAUGGGUGCUGAGAAACCCCAUCAACUAUGGGCUAAGGAAUGGACGUUGCAGCAAUGAGUCACAGACUGUGGCUCCUUUGUGUGUGUAGGAGGGCAGGCGUGGGCAGGAACCUACUAUCCAGGUUUCCUCUCCCUGCUACAGCAUUCCAAUGCUUUUUCAUCAUUUCCCACUCAGUGUUCUACCAUAUCUUGUAACAAACAGAAAAUUUAAGGUUUCCCCACUUCUUAGAAAAAUGCUGCUUAGUAAAGAAAUCUGCUAAAAGG
Gallus gallus (chicken) is the source of this 970-nucleotide long non-coding RNA. RefSeq lists it as uncharacterized. NCBI's taxonomy places the organism in Eukaryota, Metazoa, Chordata, Aves, Galliformes, Phasianidae. The record is from RefSeq and is a predicted model, not a curated record. The transcript is spliced from 2 exons.